UCAAUAGGGACGAAGCGCAAGUGACGGUACCUAUAGAAGAAGGACCGGCCAACUACGUGCCAGCAGCCGCGGUAAUAGGUAGGGUCCGAGCGUUGUCCGGAAUUACUGGGCGUAAAGAGCUCGUAGGUGGUUUGUCGCGUUGUUCGUGAAAACUCACAGCUUAACUGUGGGCGUGCGGGCGAUACGGGCAGACUAGAGUACUGCAGGGGAGACUGGAAUUCCUGGUGUAGCGGUGGAAUGCGCAGAUAUCAGGAGGAACACCGGUGGCGAAGGCGGGUCUCUGGGCAGUAACUGACGCUGAGGAGCGAAAGCGUGGGGAGCGAACAGGAUUAGAUACCCUGGUAGUCCACGCCGUAAACGGUGGGUACUAGGUGUGGGUUUCCUUCCUUGGGAUCCGUGCCGUAGCUAACGCAUUAAGUACCCCGCCUGGGGAGUACGGCCGCAAGGCUAAAACUCAAAGAAAUUGACGGGGGCCCGCACAAGCGGCGGAGCAUGUGGAUUAAUUCGAUGCAACGCGAAGAACCUUACCUGGGUUUGACAUGCACAGGACGCCAGUAGAGAUAUUGGUUCCCUUGUGGCCUGUGUGCAGGUGGUGCAUGGCUGUCGUCAGCUCGUGUCGUGAGAUGUUGGGUUAAGUCCCGCAACGAGCGCAACCCUUAUCUUAUGUUGCCAGCGCGUAAUGGCGGGGACUCGUGAGAGACUGCCGGGGUCAACUCGGAGGAAGGUGGGGAUGACGUCAAGUCAUCAUGCCCCUUAUGUCCAGGGCUUCACACAUGCUACAAUGGCCGGUACAAAGGGCUGCGAUGCCGUGAGGUGGAGCGAAUCCUUUCAAAGCCGGUCUCAGUUCGGAUCGGGGUCUGCAACUCGACCCCGUGAAGUCGGAGUCGCUAGUAAUCGCAGAUCAGCAACGCUGCGGUGAAUACGUUCCCGGGCCUUGUACACACCGCCCGUCACGUCAUGAAAGUCGGUAACACCCGAAGCCGGUGGCCUAACCCUU
Molecule: ribosomal RNA, 997 nt
Filed under: Mycolicibacterium arcueilense
Lineage: Bacteria; Bacillati; Actinomycetota; Actinomycetes; Mycobacteriales; Mycobacteriaceae
Description: bacterial SSU rRNA
Rfam family: Bacterial small subunit ribosomal RNA
Source: RNAcentral